AGAACCAUGGACGUGCUAAAAAAUGGUUGGAUGUAAUAUUUAAUAUAAAAGAAAAAAAUUUACAAUUUCUUUUUUUUUCUUCUUCUCUCUCUCUCUCUCGCGACGAAGAGUUGCGAAAUUGAUUGAGAUUUUUCUCAAUGAUCUGUUGGAAGUGGAGUAGAUCGAUUCGGGUUUUGGUGACUUUUAUCUGUUCUCGGCCUUUAAGCUCAACCUCCCCACCGAUGGCGGAUCUCAACGGCGAUUCUCUGUGAGUUAAUCGACAAGUUGGUUGGAUGAAAUCAGAGACCACCAAGUCGUAGCCUUUCCUUCACCAAAUCGGAGAUGUUCAAUCACCAAUCUCUUUCUCAUGCAGGGUUUCUCGCAACUUUUAUGAAAGCUUAUGUAUUGAAAGCUUACCCGGCGAUGAAAGCUUAUGUAUUGCUAUAUUCUGAUUUCUGGGUUCAGAACUGGGCAGUUCAUAGAAGUGGCUAUCUCUCGGUUUCUGCUUAUAGCUCAUCAUGGUGCUGGUGUUAGUUUAGGUGUCAAUAUGUCUAUCUAUCCUAUAUGGGCUGAAGGUUGUGUGAAUGGAUACCUCCGCUGUGUUGAAUACGAGAGAAUCCCAUCCAAAAUUUGGCCUUCUGAUUUCAUGAUUUUGUUAUAUGUGACAUUUAUAAUGUUAGGGUGGUCCAUUGGGUGGUUACGGUGUUCCUCCCCUUGAUUUGUUAUAUAUGUGACAGUACCAAGUAUAUUCAGAUCAAAAACGGUUGCCGGAGGGCGUUCUUAAAGUAACAACAUCAAACUAAUCGAUUAAGAGGUGUGUGUGCGUGUUCGUGUUCUAACUCUCAUUUGGAUAUUUUUGCUUUACUCAGGCAAGU
Camelina sativa (false flax) is the source of this 854-nucleotide non-coding RNA. The record is from RefSeq and is a predicted model, not a curated record. NCBI's taxonomy places the organism in Eukaryota, Viridiplantae, Streptophyta, Magnoliopsida, Brassicales, Brassicaceae.